This 331-nucleotide ribosomal RNA is filed under the name uncultured eukaryote. RNAcentral describes it as "partial 18S ribosomal RNA". It matches the Rfam family "Eukaryotic small subunit ribosomal RNA", at positions 1470 to 1796 of the family's 1831-position model. The record is from RNAcentral.
CCCCUAGAUGUUCUGGGCCGCACGCGCGCUACACUGACGAAUUCAACGAGUUUAUAACCUUUGCUGGGAGGCAUGGGUAAUCUUGUAAACGUUCGUCGUGAUGGGGAUAGAUUAUUGCAAUUGUUAAUCUUCAACGAGGAAUUCCUAGUAAACGCAAGUCAUCAGCUUGCAUUGAUUACGUCCCUGCCCUUUGUACACACCGCCCGUCGCACCUACCGAUUGAAUGGUCCGGUGAAUUCUUCGGACUGCGGCUUUGACUCGAUUUCGGUCGAGGCGUUGCUGCGGGAAGUUGAUUAAACCUUACCAUUUAGAGGAAGGUGAAGUCGUAACA